CAGAUGAUACACCUGUUCCCAUGCCGAACACAGAAGUUAAGCUCUGUAGCGCUGAAAGUAGUUGGGGGAUCGCUCCCUGCGAGGAUAAGACGUCGCCA
This 98-nucleotide ribosomal RNA is filed under the name Periweissella ghanensis. The record is from RNAcentral. Lineage: Bacteria; Bacillati; Bacillota; Bacilli; Lactobacillales; Lactobacillaceae.